AUUAGACAAUGCUUGUACUAUCUUCUCGUGAGCAGUUGCAACAACACUUUGUCCAUUGAUCUCAAUAAUACGAUGACCCACUCUAACCCCUCCCCUCUCAGCUAUUCCACCUCUCAUCAAGCUGCAAAUCUGCCAAGAAAAAGUUAUUAAAGAUUAGAAAUGUCAAAAUAUAGCAGUUAAUAGGAUUUAAUACACCAUACAGAGAUACUAGCAGAAAGCAAUAAGCAGUACUACAAGGUAUUACUGGUUUACCAUUUUUCAGAAUUUAUGGAAAUGACCAUUUUUACUUUGGUUCUUCUGGACUGGGAACGUGUAAACACGUACAGGGCUGCACCUCGCCGCAAGGCAGAAGCAGCAGAAGUGGAGUUAUGGGGAAAAGUGGAGUUUUACAUACUGUUGGGAUAAGAAACUGAUUAUUUUGAAAACUGUUUCUCACUGUACCAUCUGGACUCUCUGAAAUUACCGCAUUGUUCUUUCUACACAAUGAGAUGUAAAAAACAACUAGAAUACAAAUUAAUCUACAACAGCAAACUUUUCAUAUACAUGGAAAAAACUGACAUAAAGCUUGAUCCAUAAUCCUUAAUCCUGGAGAAACACUGAUGUAGGCUGAAUGAAAGGAUGAUGCCAUAUAGGCAUUCUGUACUGAAAGGUGGUGCAGGGUCUUGAGUGAGCACGUUCUUAUUACAGGCUGUUAUCAGCAAAUUAAUUGAAUAGUGAAGGAUGACAGCUUGUUUUCUGUACCUCUGCAGGCUGGAAAAGGGCACUCUGCCCUCCUGAGCCACCGCUUUUCUCCAUGUUUUAUAGUGCUGCUGACUAGAGAGAGUUUAGGACAAAGAAGGCAAAUCAGUCCACUGUUUCAGCUGGCAUCCACAGACUGGAAGAAGAGGAAAAGGUGAUGGUCCUGCAUUGCAGGCAGUCCUUAAUGCUGUAUCAGCCCUCAAAAACACUGGGUGGCUACCUGAGCUAGCAGUGCCCUGAAAAUUUGCUUUGUACCAGAAAAUGGCUUGGGAAAGAAGGACUGUGAGAAAAGAACCCUGAGCUGCACCGGUUUUGCUUGUGUUCUACUAGAUGAGAUACUAGCCUGCCCAGUAUCACAGCAUCCUGGACAUGUGGUUAUUUUCUCUGGUGGCACUGGAACACAGAGAAACAGGUAGAGAUAUCAAAGGAUCAAGUUGCAUCUUUCAGAAGGAGUGCAUGUACCAACCAGAG
RNAcentral lists this long non-coding RNA (1209 nucleotides) under Gallus gallus (chicken). RNAcentral describes it as "long non-coding RNA NONGGAT001563". The record is from RNAcentral. Lineage: Eukaryota; Metazoa; Chordata; Aves; Galliformes; Phasianidae.